RNAcentral lists this ribosomal RNA (427 nucleotides) under uncultured Fusibacter sp. Its description in RNAcentral is "bacterial SSU rRNA". It matches the Rfam family "Bacterial small subunit ribosomal RNA", at positions 957 to 1382 of the family's 1533-position model. The record is from RNAcentral. Lineage: Bacteria; Bacillati; Bacillota; Clostridia; Eubacteriales; Fusibacteraceae.
CAACGACGAAGAACCUUACCAGAUCUUGACAUCAAUUGACCAUCUUUUAAUCGAGAUUUUGCCUUCGGUACAAUUGAGACAGGUGGUGCAUGGCUGUCGUCAGCUCGUGUCGUGAGAUGUUGGGUUAAGUCCCGCAACGAGCGCAACCCUUGUGUUUAGUUGCAAACAGGUCAAGCUGUGCACUCUAGACAGACUGCCGUGGACAACACGGAGGAAGGUGGGGAUGACGUCAAAUCAUCAUGCCCCUUAUGAUCUGGGCUACACACGUGCUACAAUGGCCGGUACAACGGGCAGCGAAGGAGCGAUCCGGAGCGAAUCCUAAAAAGCCGGUCCCAGUUCGGAUUGCAGGCUGAAACUCGCCUACAUGAAGUUGGAGUUGCUAGUAAUCGCGAAUCAGAAUGUCGCGGUGAAUGCGUUCCCGGGUCUU